Molecule: long non-coding RNA, 552 nt
Filed under: Neodiprion lecontei (redheaded pine sawfly)
Lineage: Eukaryota; Metazoa; Arthropoda; Insecta; Hymenoptera; Diprionidae
Also listed under: 1 other name
Description: uncharacterized LOC124295440
Source: RNAcentral
CUUCCGUUUUUCUUCGAGACCCCGUCGACUUUUCCACAGUCCACGACGCUCUUCGCCAGCAGGACUCUGCGAAGGUUUCAAGUUGUGAUGCACAUGCUUAUGUGUACAAUAUUGUCGCCAAGCAACGCGAGUGGACGGCCGCCGAUCAAUAUUCCCGCGGAUGACGGGUUUUUUAAACAUGAUGAUCUUUGAAGGAACAGGAAUGGGCGAUGAAUGACAAUAAAAGCGAGGCAAUCAUCGUGUAAAUUAAUAAAGCUAAUUUUAUUAGAACAUCAUCAUCGAAGUGUUAGUCAAAUAAAUAAAUUACAUCAACUUUAUGCUAGAUGCCUGAUCCAUACGUUUUCAAAUCGUCGAGCAGGAAGUUGUCACUGGUAAUUCCGGUUUCUAUACUACACAGUGUUCGAAUAUGUGUAUAUUCGUAGUAUAUUUAUAGAAAAUUUAUGGAUAUGCUGUAUUUCUUCAAGUUCGUUGAUCGUAUGUGUAUACAAUAAUCCUACUACUGGAAUUUUACGUAAUAAUAUUGUCUGAUCGAUAUUUUGUAUCAGCAGCGCA